RNAcentral lists this ribosomal RNA (468 nucleotides) under uncultured bacterium. RNAcentral's name for it is "partial 16S ribosomal RNA". It matches the Rfam family "Bacterial small subunit ribosomal RNA", at positions 28 to 507 of the family's 1533-position model. The record is from RNAcentral.
GACGAACGCUGGCGGCGUGCUUAACACAUGCAAGUCGAACGGAAAGGCCCUGCUUUUGUGGGGUGCUCGAGUGGCGAACGGGUGAGUAACACGUGAGUAACCUGCCCCUGACUUUGGGAUAAAUUCAGGAAACUGGGGCUAAUACCGGAUAGGAGCUCCUGCUGCAUGGUGGGGGUUGGAAAGAUUCGGCGGUUGGGGAUGGACUCGCGGUUCAUCAGCUUGUUGGUGAGGUAGUGGCUUACCAAGGCUUUGACGGGUAGCCGGCCUGGGAGGGUGACCGGCCACAUUGGGAUGGAGAAACGGCCCAGACUCCUACGGGGGGCAGCAGUGGGAAAUAUUGCACAAUAGGCGGAAGCCUGAUGCAGCAACGCCGCGUGCGGGAUGACGGCCUUCGGGUUGUAAACCGCUUUCGCCUGUGACGAAGCGUGAGUGACGGUAAUGGGUAAAGAAGCACCGGCUAACUACGUG